Molecule: long non-coding RNA, 544 nt
Organism: Dermacentor silvarum
Lineage: Eukaryota; Metazoa; Arthropoda; Arachnida; Ixodida; Ixodidae
Exons: 3
Source: RefSeq, a predicted model, not a curated record
GGAAAGUUGUUUAAACUAAGUCAUGAAAGCAAACUCUAGUAUGUAAACAAACAUUUCUUGUAUGUGCUGCUGCGUGCGUGUUCAAAAUUUUACUUUGAUGAAGGGGUCCCUAUUAUGACAUUCUUCAGUGACUCGACCUUGUGCUCCGUUGCCACCCUGCACUAGUCCAGACAUGUUUUUAUGUGCACCUUACAUGUGUUCACAAUAUGACAGUUUUAUUGUGCCAAUCAAUGCUAUAAGUUAACACACUACUCAUUUUGCAGUGGUGAGACCUUGACCCUAUAGCAGUGUCAACAUAAUGGCAGGGAAAUGCAGGGAUCCCGCAGCCAUGGCUACAGCAGUACAGGGUGUAAUCUGGAUGUCAUGUCAGACCUGAAGCCUGCAGCUUCAGAUUGUGCGCUUGACUGUCAAGCCUUGUGAAGGAGAGGAUGGAGGCUUUUAUUUCCCCUUACCACCCGGAUGCGUCACAUCAUAUGCCUACGGUGAAAUACGAGAGAACUAGCCUGCUGCAAGCAAGAGCCCUCCAUGUACAGCUCGAAUCGAU